This 92-nucleotide microRNA precursor is filed under the name Mus caroli (Ryukyu mouse). RNAcentral describes it as "microRNA 1941 (MGP_CAROLIEiJ_G0007462.1)". The record is from RNAcentral. Lineage: Eukaryota; Metazoa; Chordata; Mammalia; Rodentia; Muridae.
CAGGAGGGUGGAAGGGAGAUGGUUCUGGUACAGAGGCUUGGGGCUAUGGUUAUGAGGGCUUCUUAGCAGUAUCUCCCAUCCACCCACCUGGG